This 317-nucleotide long non-coding RNA is filed under the name Cricetulus griseus (Chinese hamster). RNAcentral describes it as "lncRNA (ENSCGRG00015038432.1)". The record is from RNAcentral. Lineage: Eukaryota; Metazoa; Chordata; Mammalia; Rodentia; Cricetidae.
GCCGUCUGCCAUGGCGGGUGGGUGAAAGACCCGAGCUAACAUGGGGUUAGUUCGUUAAAUUACAAUAAAGCCUCGUGCAGUUUGCAGCAAGCUCUCGAAUCCGCCUGGUGAUUGGGGUGACCGCGAACCUGGCCUGAGACCCCGGAUACUUGAGUUUUCGGGGGUCUAACAUUUUGGGGGCUCGUCCGGGAUUUGCGACCACCCUUCACCUGAGUGGAUUCGAUCUUGGAGGUUUCUGCUUCUCUCUGACAUCUGAGUAUCAGUUGCUGACUACCGGCUGUUCUAAGUAGACUGCGAGCCCUAGAUUUGCUGUGGAU